This 600-nucleotide unclassified non-coding RNA is filed under the name Hevea brasiliensis (rubber tree). Lineage: Eukaryota; Viridiplantae; Streptophyta; Magnoliopsida; Malpighiales; Euphorbiaceae. The record is from RNAcentral.
AAAUGCAGCAACAGUUUUUUCUACCAUCAGGUUUUCAGAAACUGGUGUAUAUUUUGUGUUUGCAGGCAAAUUUCUUAUUCCUGAUUAAGAAAAUUUUCAGCAUACAUUUUGAGCCUAGGUCCAUUUUUGUGAGACAUGAGACGCCUUCUUUACUGCCUGUAUUGCUUCCUAAAGGCAAACGAUAAAGGCCAUUGAGGUUGUUAAGUUAUUUGAUCAUGUUGAUCUGCCUGAAAACUUGGAAUCACAAAAUUUUUCAAUGUACUCGAUGAUUCAAAGCCUCAGUCAUCUUAGCAAGCAAAGCCGGUGGAGAACCUGAAGAGAUAUCAAUGUUGGGCAUUCAUUUUCCUGCUAGAUUGUCUCAUGAUCUCUGAAGGCAUUUUUAAAGACAUGUAUGUUGACCAUGUAGCUCAAUUAUCUUCUUUGAAAGGGUUGAAACCGAAGGUUUAAUGUUCGAAUUGUAUGCCUUUAGUAGGUCUUAAUAAAAGACGCUGCAGAUUGUAUGCCUUUGUUAGUUUUGUGCUAAUGCACUAAUGUCCACUGGCUGAAAAUACCACACCUCAGAACCCCAAAUUAUUUUGUUGAUAAAGAUAGCAUUUGUGG